This 497-nucleotide ribosomal RNA is filed under the name uncultured bacterium. RNAcentral describes it as "partial 16S ribosomal RNA". It matches the Rfam family "Bacterial small subunit ribosomal RNA", at positions 28 to 507 of the family's 1533-position model. The record is from RNAcentral.
GAUGAACGCUGGCGGCGUGCCUAAUACAUGCAAGUCGAGCGAACAGACGAGGAGCUUGCUCCUCUGACGUUAGCGGCGGACGGGUGAGUAACACGUGGAUAACCUACCUAUAAGACUGGGAUAACUUCGGGAAACCGGAGCUAAUACCGGAUAAUAUAUUGAACCGCAUGGUUCAAUAGUGAAAGACGGUUUUGCUGUCACUUAUAGAUGGAUCCGCGCCGCAUUAGCUAGUUGGUAAGGUAACGGCUUACCAAGGCGACGAUGCGUAGCCGACCUGAGAGGGUGAUCGGCCACACUGGAACUGAGACACGGUCCAGACUCCUACGGGAGGCAGCAGUAGGGAAUCUUCCGCAAUGGGCGAAAGCCUGACGGAGCAACGCCGCGUGAGUGAUGAAGGUCUUCGGAACGUAAAACUCUGUUAUUAGGGAAGAACAAAUGUGUAAGUAACUAUGCACGUCUUGACGGUACCUAAUCAGAAAGCCACGGCUAACUACGUG